UGGGGAAUUUUGGACAAUGGGCGAAAGCCUGAUCCAGCAAUGCCGCGUGUGUGAAGAAGGCCUUCGGGUUGUAAAGCACUUUUGUCCGGAAAGAAAUCCUUGGCUCUAAUACAGUCGGGGGAUGACGGUACCGGAAGAAUAAGCACCGGCUAACUACGUGCCAGCAGCCGCGGUAAUACGUAGGGUGCAAGCGUUAAUCGGAAUUACUGGGCGUAAAGCGUGCGCAGGCGGUUUGCUAAGACCGAUGUGAAAUCCCCGGGCUCAACCUGGGAACUGCAUUGGUGACUGGCAGGCUAGAGUAUGGCAGAGGGGGGUAGAAUUCCACGUGUAGCAGUGAAAUGCGUAGAGAUGUGGAGGAAUACCGAUGGCGAAGGCAGCCCCCUGGGCCAAUACUGACGCUCAUGCACGAAAGCGUGGGGAGCAAACAGGAUUAGAUACCCUGGUAGUCCACGCCCUAAACGAUGUCAACUAGUUGUUGGGGAUUCAUUUCCUUAGUAACGUAGCUAACGCGUGAAGUUGACCGCCUGGGGAGUACGUCGCAAGAUUAAAACUCAAAGGAAUUGACGGGGUCAUAGCUGUUUCC
Molecule: ribosomal RNA, 583 nt
Filed under: uncultured bacterium
Lineage: Bacteria
Description: partial 16S ribosomal RNA
Rfam family: Bacterial small subunit ribosomal RNA
Source: RNAcentral